RNAcentral lists this ribosomal RNA (492 nucleotides) under uncultured bacterium. Its description in RNAcentral is "partial 16S ribosomal RNA". It matches the Rfam family "Bacterial small subunit ribosomal RNA", at positions 29 to 507 of the family's 1533-position model. The record is from RNAcentral.
AGUGAACGCUGGCGGUAGGCCUAACACAUGCCAGUCGAACGGCAGCACAGUAAGAGCUUGCUCUUACGGGUGGCGAGUGGCGGACGGGUGAGGAAUACAUCGGAAUCUACUUUUUCGUGGGGGAUAACGUAGGGAAACUUACGCUAAUACCGCAUACGACCUACGGGUGAAAGCAGGGGAUCUUCGGACCUUGCGCGAUUGAAUGAGCCGAUGUCGGAUUAGCUAGUUGGCGGGGUAAAGGCCCACCAAGGCGACGAUCCGUAGCUGGUCUGAGAGGAUGAUCAGUCACACUGGAACUGAGACACGGUCCAGACUCCUACGGGAGGCAGCAGUGGGGAAUAUUGGACAAUGGGCGCAAGCCUGAUCCAGCCAUACCGCGUGGGUGAAGAAGGCCUUCGGGUUGUAAAGCCCCUUUGUUGGGAAAGAAAAGCAGCAGGUUAAUACCCCGCUGUUCUGACGGUACCCAAAGAAUAAGCACCGGCUAACUUCGUG